This 64-nucleotide transfer RNA is filed under the name Pseudacysta perseae. RNAcentral describes it as "tRNA-Cys". Lineage: Eukaryota; Metazoa; Arthropoda; Insecta; Hemiptera; Tingidae. The record is from RNAcentral.
GGUUUUAUAUUCAAAAUAUGAUGAUUUUAAAUUGCAAGUUUAAAGGUGUAAAUUACUAAAACCU